UGGGGAAUCUUGCGCAAUGGGCGAAAGCCUGACGCAGCGACGCCGCGUGAGGGAGGAAGGCCUUCGGUUGUAAACCUACUUUCAGGAGGGACGAAGCUACUCGGGUGAAUAGCCCAGAGGGUGACGGUACCUCCAGAAGAAGCCCCGGCUAACUACGUGCCAGCAGCCGCGGUAAUACGUAGGGGGCAAGCGUUGUCCGGAUUUACUGGGCGUAAAGCGCGUGUAGGCGGCCACACAGGUCCGUUGUGAAAACUGGAGGCUCAACCUCCAGACGUCGACGGAAACCGUAUGGCUAGAGUCCGGAAGAGGAGAGUGGAAUUCCUGGUGUAGCGGUGAAAUGCGCAGAUAUCAGGGAAGAACACCAAUGGCGAAGGCAGCUCUCUGGGACGGUACUGACGCUGAGACGCGAAAGCGUGGGGAGCGAACAGGAUUAGAUACCCUGGUAGUCCACGCCGUAAACGAUGGGUG
Molecule: ribosomal RNA, 468 nt
Filed under: uncultured Actinomycetes bacterium
Lineage: Bacteria; Bacillati; Actinomycetota; Actinomycetes
Description: bacterial SSU rRNA
Rfam family: Bacterial small subunit ribosomal RNA
Source: RNAcentral